CCUGCCGGCAGGAGGGGACGAAGUAACCGAGUAGUAAACUGAAAAGACUUACGUUAAAAACAAAGGGGCAAUGUCCGAGAGUAAUCAUCGCCGGCCGCGCUUCUCUUGGCUGUUACAGACAGCCCUGAGCCGGCUCCCGCUCCCCGCUCGGGAAGGGCAAAAACAGAGUGGAGGAUGCGGGCAUCGAUCCCGCUACCUCUCGCAUGCUAAGCGAGCGCUCUACCAUUUGAGCUAAUCCCCCGGCUGUGGCUGCCUCUCUUCCAGUUACCUUACAGGUUGUUACAAGAUGUCUGCCGACCAAUGAAAAACCAAAAUUCAGGACAUUUAUUUUUGCAGCCGAGUAUAAUGGAACCAUAGGCAAAUUCUUAAAAGGUAGAAAUAACUACACGUAAGCAAUAGUAAGAAGAUCUUAAAUAAAGCAUCGAAUAUAUCUGCAUUUAACCCACAAAAGAGUACUUAGACUCUACAUACCUUGACCAACUGCACACGUUUUACAGAACAUCGCAGUGCUCAGGAAUUCAGUCUGCCUUCAAAUAAAACUCCCCACGCACCCAAGUUUGGUGGAGGUUAAAAAGGUUGUACGAAGUCCUUCGAGCCGGAAUCGAACCAGCGACCUAAGGAUUGCCACAGACUCAUCCACUACAGUCCUCCGCUCUACCAACUGAGCUAUCGAAGGCCCCGCUGCUUCCAGCGCCCGCAGAUUGCUCUCUAAUGCUUACCGAGGCCUCGCUACGCCAGGACCUCAGAGCUUGCUAGAGGCCUGGACUCCACUUACUAUAGAAGCUCGCCCGGGCCGAGCCCCUCCAGGCUACACAGAACAGAGAAAGGCAGAGACCUGUGAGAGCAACGGACCCACCUCCCAGCCCCGGAUGGAGGAAACACGGGCAAUGCACUUCCCUUCCGUUUUCCAGCUUUCUACCAAACAAUGCGCCCCCUCCCGCCGCCCCUCCCGGUGGCUCCCAUAGGACUGCAGACGCUUGGAGACCCCGCUCGCGACCCCGGCCAGCGUGUUCCGGACAGCAUGGCCCCGCGGGGCCAGCACCCUCGCACGCUCUACAAUUGCAACGCGCACACCCCGUUCGCCCGGCCGACGGCUUGCUUUUUGCUAUUUCUGCUCCCCAUUCCCCUUAGAUUUAUCCGGGGGACGCCAAUAAAAUCCUACUGCUCCCCUGGUGUGAGGUGCAUUGAUUCCGACAAUGAACCAACGUUUUGUCGGCCAUUCAUCCCGACCAGGGCAAGUAAUAUACAAACCACAGAGCGGCUCGAGGUUUGCAGGGCGGCGCGGGUUCAGCUGCCCCGAACCCCGCGAGGGGGGCUGGCGGGCGGGGCCGCGGAGGGGGCUCCGGGCUCGGCCACGUCCGUCGGCCCCGCCCCUGCCGGUCUCACCUUCCCUCCCUCCGGGGCGGGCAAAGCCAGCCCACAAUCCUGUGCCCACCGGGAGCUUCGGGGGUUUAAAAACAAGCCUCAAGACUAAAGCCCAGCUCUCCCGCGAAUCCUGGCUUCGUCGUGUGAUGGGGCUUGGAAGAACAACUCCUACCCUUUUAAGCAAUGACUCCCAAGCAAGCACCAACCCCUGGCAACCACUCACCAGCUUUCUGACUGUAUGGGUUUGCCCAUUCUGGAGAUUUCACGGGAAAGAAGUCACAAAACAUGUGACCUUUUGUGUCUCAUUUCUUUCACUUAUAAUGUUUUUGGGACUCAUCCAAGUUGUAGCCUGUGUUAGUACUUGCUUUUUAUGGUGAAUACCAUUCCCUUGUAUGGAUAUACCCUUUAUCCAUUCAGCUGUCGUGUUUUUGUUGUUGUUUUUCAUUCAUCUGUUUUGAUGGACAUUUGGAUUAUUUCCACCUUUUGGCUUUUAUGAAUAAUGGUUUUAUAAACAUUCAUGAAGAAAUUUGUGUGAAUAUAUGCUUUCAUUUCUCUUGGUUAUAUACUCAGGAGUGGAAUUCUGGGUUUUAUGGUAACUAUAUGUUUAACUCUUUGAAGAAUUGUCAAACUGUUCCCAUAGUGUCUCAAUCACUUUACAUCCCCUCCAGCAAUGUAGGAGGGUCUCAUCCUUGUCAACACUUAUUUUCCGUUUUUAUUAUAGGCAAUAUUUCAAUAAAUUAAGCUCAAUUAAUUAAAAACAUUUUCUCGUAUCAUUAUAGAUGUUUUGGAAUUAUUUGAAAAGCCAUUUCCCAACCUUUGGUUUUACCACAUUUUUAAAAAAUAUUCAUCUUACUGUCAGACACAGUUUAUAUCCAAAUUUUUAUUAUUAAUACUGCUACAAUAAAUGUUCUGGAAUAUAAAUCUUUGUCCAUGCUUCGGCUUACUUUUUUUACUCUUCAGAAUGUGUAUACUUGUUAAUCUUUUAUUAUUUUUACAUAGUUUGGAAUCUCACAUGAUUUUGAUAACUCUUUCAGAAUUAUGCAAAAAGCCAGAAUAUAUUUUUAGGAGUGUAACUACUUGGUAAAAUAGUAUGAAAGUUUUAAACUUUUUGAUAAAUAUUACCAAAUUACUUCCCAGAAACAGUAUACCACUUUCUACCACAGCAUUUACUGAAUAUAUUAUCAUUAACAAUAAUUCAUCAAUGUGAUAUACAAAAGUGUAUCUCAUUUUAAAUUUGCACUUUUUAACCAAUGAAAUGACUUCUUUUAAGUCUAUGGUUCAUUUGCAUUUUUUAUUAAUUAUGUCUUUUGUUCAUCUUUUUAUUAUUGUUUAGUGCUUUCUUGAUUUGCAAGUGUUCUUUAACAUUAGGAUGUGUUUAUGAUAUGCUCAAUAAGGAAAUAGAGGCCUUGAUCAACACAGCAACUGGACCUCACAGACACAGGACAUACCCCCAACAGCAUCAGAACACAUUUUUCUCAUGCACACACAGAACAUUCUCCGGGAUAGCUCACAUUAGGCAAUCUCAACAAACUUUAAAAAGAUUGAAAUAAUUCAAAGUACGACUGAACUACAAACUUUGGAUGAUAGUGAUGUAUCAUAGUAGGUUCACUGGUGUUAACAGUGUUAGAGGCUGUGCAAGUGUACAGGCAAGGGCUAUGUAUUUUUUGCUCAACUUUAAUGUGAAUGUAAAACUGCUCUAAAAAUGUCAAUUAAAAAUGUAAUAACUGGUAUGCUAACACAGUAAAAAAAAAUUAUACCAAAGCAUAUUAAAAAAUGUGUCUGAAUUCAAUUAUUUUACUCAUAGGCAGAAUAUUCAAUAUUCAAUAAAUAUUCACUCAUACCCUGAACAAUGGAAGCUUCCCUGUCCCCUCAAAUUUCUUCUUCUACCUCAAGUGUGGGGCAAUGAAAAAUACUCAGUAAAAUGGAACACCAUGGGGAAGGGCCAAGUCCUUUAUCCCCCUCAAGUCCUUUUGGGAGCAGAACCAUGAAGAAAAUUUU
Molecule: long non-coding RNA, 3363 nt
Organism: Pipistrellus kuhlii (Kuhl's pipistrelle)
Lineage: Eukaryota; Metazoa; Chordata; Mammalia; Chiroptera; Vespertilionidae
Exons: 2
Source: RefSeq, a predicted model, not a curated record